This 226-nucleotide unclassified non-coding RNA is filed under the name plant metagenome. RNAcentral's name for it is "partial contains small subunit ribosomal RNA, internal transcribed spacer 1, and 5.8S ribosomal RNA". The record is from RNAcentral.
UUUCCGUAGGUGAACCUGCGGAAGGAUCAUUACUAAAGCAUCUACAAAUGCUAACCGUGUGAAUUGUCGUCGUCGCGUCGCGCUGUUGCCGCGCGCGCAUGCUCUCAUGUGUGUGUGUGUGUGCGACGCGUGCACGCGACAACUAUAAACGCGCAUCUACUUGUCAGUUGGUUAUACUUAUUAUCGAAGCUUUAUAUAACUUUUAACAAUGGAUCUCUUGGCUCUU